GGCAACUUUAUCUCAAGACAGCUCCCCUUUCAAUCCUUGUCAUACGACAUGGUUCACCGCACUCAGUGUGGCAUUGUCUGGGAUAACAAAGUUAAAAUCCUCAUUAUGGUUUAGGAUUUUGUUUUCCCCUCUAAAUCACCAUUUGUUUGUCAGAUUGAGUGCAGUGGCUUUUAUUGAUUUUUCAUCAAGAAAAAUACUUCAAAUUACUUGGACAGUUAGCCUCUUAUGUAUUGGUUAACUAGUCUGUGUUUUUUUGUUACUUUUUGUGUGCAUUUUUUAUUUUUAUUUUUUGUUUAUCAGAUUUUGUUUGAUGCUAUAGCUAUCUGUGAUUAAUUUUGCAAUGAAUAUUAGGCUUACUGUGAGGAAGGCCAAGAAGGAAAAGAAAGUGAAGGAUCCACACAAGCCAAGGACGCCUCCCUAGUGCUUUUUUGUUUUCAUGUAUGCCCCAUUUGCAUUUUUGGUGUCUCUACCUUUUCUGUAUAUUUUUCUAGACUGAUUUUAUGCCGUUUAGCAAAAGGUUAAUUCGACCAUUAAUCUGUUCAUGUCGUUUGUGUUUUCAGGGAAGGGUUUAGGAAAUAGUACAAGGAAAAAUAUCCAAACAACAAAUCAAUUGUUGUGAGUUCGUCGUUCUUUUUUAAUUUUCUUUGAAGCUUAAAUGAUUAGUGCAGGCAAUUUGCACUUGGAGUAUUCACGAUAAUUUUCUUUAUAAUUUCAGGUUUUCCUUUUGGGAAUAAAUAAUAAUAUAUAUUGGAAAAGCUAGAGGAGAUAAGUGAAGUUCAUGAGUGAUGAGGUAACUCUAUGCAAUCCAAGAUAUUGUUUAUAUCUAAUUCUUCUUCUAGAGAAAUUUCCUAACGUCAUGAUAAAAAUAAAGAAAAAAUUCCUUCUGUGCAAAAGGCAGAGAAACAAGAGUAGGAAUAUGAGCAUAAAUGGUAGACUACAAUAAGAAUUUGGUAAUCCAUCUAUGAGAAGCAUAGUGUUAUAUAGUGUUUAUUUUUUACUGCAAUACUGAAAUGAUUUGCCAUACUAUUUUUAUAGGCUUGAGGUGCUGAUGAUGAGUCUGACAAGUCAAAGUCUGAGAUUAAUGGUGAUGAGGACGAUGAGAGCAGUGGAGACGUUAGUUGGGAUUAAGCUAUACAACUUUUUUGUACUUAAAACUUGGAAACUAUGUUGACUUAUUAUUUUGUUUUAAUUAAUGUAGGAGGAAGACAAUGAGUAAGCGCUAUCACAUAAAACUGGAUUUUGGAUUCAAGGUGAGAGCUAACAAACAAUCUUCCUUCAUUAAUUUGUGUUUGGGCUAUUUUGUAAAAUGCUUGAAUUCAAAGUGAUUUAAUUGAAUUGGUAAAUUAGGAUUUCAUGAAGAAUUAUCCUGUAAAAAUUGGGCUUUAUGUAAAUUUUAUUGAAAGUAAUUAUAGUUAAUACGAUUUUCCUCCUUUUUCUUCUGUUGUGAAAGUUGCUAAGGUGUUAGUUUUUCUUUUUCACCAAGGGGACAAGCGUCUCUUCCCUUCCAUUAACUCGAGCAAAAAAGAGAGGAAACAUAUGCCCUGAUUUUCCCUUUUGGUAACGAAUACCGGGGAAUUCCCCUUUUUCGCCUUCUCCUGCCUCUUACUAUGCUUGAUAUACAUACUUAUUUUGAAAGAACGGGUGAAGGAAGAGGAGGUUGGGUGUUUUUUGACCCAUGAUAAAUAUUUAAUGUGUUACAGCAAGCAGCUCAUAUAUUUUUAAAUCAUUAAAGCUCAUUCCUGUUAAAAAUGUUAGAGAGAAAAACAUUAAUUUAUUCAUAUCUUCAAAACACCUCUUAUGGUACAUGUAGAUUUAAUUUUUCUAUAGAAUGACAUGUAUAAUUUUGACGAGGAUGAUAUUAUUGUUCUGCGGAUUUCCAUCUGGUUGUACAUUACCAAUACAGGUCUAGGCUUAGAGUUCGAUUAGAGACUCGGAGCUCAGUUAUCUACUAGGUCGAGAAAAUUGUUGAUCAGGUCAAUCGCUCUAAGCUUGUGGUUGACUACUUACGUGGCCCAUUUUGUUUAUAUUUCGUUGCAAGCUCCAAUUCAUACAUAGUUUUUGUUAUUGCAGGAGUUAAGAGGAAGAGGACAAACCAAACGAUCAAGGAUUUAGCAAUGCAUUUUUGAAGUGAAGUCCAGGAAACUAUAUUAGUUAAGUGAAGCCAGCAUUCUGCUAAAGCGAACAAAAAGAUUAUGACGAUUGAGGAUGAUCAAAGUCACAUUUCACUUAUUAUCCUUCGUUCCCAUCUCUUUUUGAGUAAUGAUCAUUUUUAGUAUCUUGUGGCUGCCCAACAUUUCAAACAUUCCAAAAACAUUGUAGAUGUAAAUUCUACAUUAUGCGAGGAAUUUCCCUUUUCUUUUCUUUCCUUUUCGAAAUGGAGAAUCAAGUAAGCUGUCAUUUCCAUUUGCAAUAGUGUAGGCUCUUACUGUGAUGUGCUGUUGCACAUGUUCACGUAUGUGUGCACAUAUUUACGUAUAUAUAUGUUUGUGCUAGACGUAUGAUACCAAAAAAAAAAAAUAAUGUUAUUUGUAAGCAGUGCUUACCUAUCAUAGGUAGAAGUAAGAUAAUUGUCACAUUUUCCUAUAAAUUUGGAGUGAUGAUAUUUGUAAACAGUGCACUACAAACAACCUAUGCUUACCUAGUUGCUGUUAGCAUAUGCUGUAGUAAAAUCCCCAAACAUUUCUUUUUCUUCUUA
This 2695-nucleotide long non-coding RNA is filed under the name Olea europaea subsp. europaea. Lineage: Eukaryota; Viridiplantae; Streptophyta; Magnoliopsida; Lamiales; Oleaceae. The record is from RNAcentral.